This is a non-coding RNA of Plectropomus leopardus (leopard coralgrouper), 419 nucleotides long. NCBI's taxonomy places the organism in Eukaryota, Metazoa, Chordata, Actinopteri, Perciformes, Serranidae. The record is from RefSeq and is a predicted model, not a curated record.
GACACACCUUCCAGUGGUGCAACUGAACUAUGCCGCUGUGUCACAAGAGACGCCUUUCAGUCGAGAUGUAGUGGAGGGCUGCGUUAAAGAAACUCUUCUUCUGCUCUUCAGAGCUUUGGCCUCUGAACAAAACAUAUUUCUCACCUUCCAGGGAAUCGGAGUUUUGUCCUUUAAGAACAACAAGGUGCGGAUGAAGUUCAACAGAGAUUUCAUUAAAGCCAUGGAUGGAAGUGGUCAGCUGUUGUUAGCCUUUAACAAUAGACCUGGGAGCAGUAUCUCUUUACUGUCUGGUGGCCUGUCCAGGCUCCAGAAGCCACAGACUGCCAUCACCCUGCCAACUGUCUGCUCUCCUCAGCCUGACAACAAAGCUGGUGACACAGAUCUAUGGUCCGUGUCACCAGCUCCAGACGAGAGGAAUG